AGGCAGGCUGUAUUUGACCCGAGGGUACCAUUUCUGAUGCUGGAGUUCUUUUGAAGAAACUAAGAGCUGUGGCAGAAUAAGCUAGUAGAUGAGGAUAGGGUGAAUAAAGCACAAGUACCAACUGGUUUUACUGAGGCUGAAUUGGGGAAGAGGAUCCAGGAUCCUGAGAUGAAGUCUGGAGAAGGGAGACGCUCUUAGAUGAGCAGUCAUUGUAUCUCUGAGCUUUUGAUUUUCGUGUUUGCUCCUUCUACCUGGAGUCUCUGGGAGGCAAGGAAGGAUGAAGAUCUAAAGAAAGAAAAGGAUCAGCAGUCUUGGUUCCAUUUGACCCUGAAGGCAGAGAUCCAGGAGACUGAUGUGCUUGUGUUCAAAGGAUUCAUGUUUGCCUAUUUAAGGUCCCUACGGGAGUAUCAUUGCCACAGGAAUGGGUGCCACAUUUUAUGAAGCUAGAGACCACACUGCAAAGAAAAUGCCCGAAAGCAGUCAUUUCUCCGGCCUGGAAUUAAAAGUGACCCCCUUUCAUAUUUCCUUGGGCUCUGCAGGCCGAAGUGGAGACCCUAUUUGCCAAGUCUCAGCCACAGUUAAUUUACUUUCGUUUUAUUUUUCCUUACUCCUGAAUUGAAUUAUCACCUUCCUGAAGAGCCGUGUGUGUAAUGGAAAAGCUGACACCAGCCAAAGUGGAGUAUUGCAGCCCAAAUGAGGCUCCUAUUAUUGCCCUGUUACGGGAGGAACGGGCUUCUGUUUGCCCUUCAUUCAUCACCUGCUGACUGUGAAACCAAGUCGAGCUGCUUUGUUUUAAUGGCAGUUGUUCUGCCCUGACCUAUGCUGCUCGCCCACCCUGCUCCAGGAGCAAACAGAUGAGUUCCAUUUGGAGCUGAACUUACUGUGCAUGAAAAUCACGAGGGCAACGAGAUUUUUUCUUCGCCUUCAUGCAACGGGGAGCAUUAAGCACUGCAUUCUGUCCCUUGAAGUCCAGAACAGGACACCUGGCUAACGGGCACCCUAUGAGACCAUCUUAUCACACUUUUCAGACCGAAGGACCUCAGCUUUGUGCUGUCCCUCCUGCUAAGGCCUUUAAAGAUCCCUCCUAAGGUUUCCAUACGCAAGUGUGUUAAAAAUAUAUCCGAGGAAAUGAUUUUCAUAGUGGAUGUUUCCUGGCUUGUGUCACACACUAUAUAUACUUCCAAUUAGGACUAUUUAUUCCUCCCUCCACCAUGCCCCGAAGCAAGGUCCAUUUGUGAAAUCUAAUUAAACCUGCUUAUUUCCUUGGAAUGAAGGACAUUUUUAGAUCUUUCACUAGGCACGCUCCUCCUGUCUGGAAGAAUUUUGUUUGUUGGUGCGUUUUAGUCUUUCUGGGGGAGGAGGGAUAGUUUUUGUUAGUUUUUCUGAGAACCCAAAAUGAUUGGAGACCUUUUAUUUACUUAUUUUUUAAACACCAGUUUCCACAGGACACUGUGAAGGAGCCAGUGCAGACUCCCUUUAGUGAAGCUCUUUCCUUGGGUUCUAAAAGCUCCUUUGUUCUCAAUUCCCAUUACUUUUCUCUCUGACUGUGGAUGGUCUCCCCUCUCCCCACAGAGCUGAGAGUUCAUGGCUGUUUCUAAUCCAUAAUUAGCUGAAAUAGAAAAAUACUCUCCUUGAGGUAAUAAUUCUCCUGCAUUUGCCGCUCUUCGCCCAUCACAAUGCAAAACAGAACAUUCUCAGACCAUGUAUGAUCACUGACAUUGCCACAGGCACCAAAAAAUUUAUUUUUUUAAGCAGCUUUGCUAAGAUGGGGCUGUCCUUGGCCUCAUAUCUGUGGUGAAUCUAAAGGAGUCAGUGAAAGCAGAAAGGAGGCAAAUAAAAUGCAGAUUGACUCUGGGAAACAUCCAUUUCAUUGGCUCUGCUUACUGGAGAAGUGGCCCAUGGAAGAUUAUGUCACCUUUUGCACCAAGUUAACGCGGCUGUUUGUCAAGUGAGACGAGAAUUCUUUGUAUUUGUAUUCUUACCUAGCUCACAUUUUUAACGAUGUCUCUUCUCCAUUUCUCAUCCAGACAUUUUUCCCUAUCUGCUUUCAAUGCUAAUGUGUCCCUGUCCUGUUUUUCAAAUUAAAUACCACACUUAAAAUAUUAAUACCCCUUGCUCUUUGAUUCUUUGUUUAUUCAUCUUAUGCAAAACACAACAGUGAGCUUCCAUCUGUAUUAAAUGCUACUGUAUGGGCCAAUUCAAUGACUUAUUAAUGACUGUUCCAUGAUAUGGAGGGCUAGGCUUUAUAUAAUCAUGCAAUUCUUAUUCAGAAAUGCUCC
This 2279-nucleotide long non-coding RNA is filed under the name Equus asinus (donkey). Its description in RNAcentral is "lncRNA (ENSEASG00005031916.1)". The record is from RNAcentral. Lineage: Eukaryota; Metazoa; Chordata; Mammalia; Perissodactyla; Equidae.